This 1669-nucleotide long non-coding RNA is filed under the name Triticum aestivum (bread wheat). RNAcentral's name for it is "long non-coding RNA (TAES_LNC014888)". Lineage: Eukaryota; Viridiplantae; Streptophyta; Magnoliopsida; Poales; Poaceae. The record is from RNAcentral.
UUCUUGAUAGUUCCGGUAACAUCGCGUUUGUGAGGAACCGUUCGACUAUGUCCAUUUGUCUUCUUCAUGGGCUCGUUCUUCUUCCUUGCGGGAUUUCAGGCAAGAUGACCAUACCCUCGAAAUCACUUCUAUCUUUGCUUGCUAGUUGCUCGCUCUUUUGCUAUGCCUAUGCUGCGAUACCUACCACUUGCUUAUCAUGCCUCCCAUAUUGUUGAACCAAGCCUCUAACCCACCUUGUCCUAGCAAACCGUUGUUUGGCUAUGUUACCGCUUUGCUCAGCCCCUCUUAUAGCGUUGUUAGUUGCAGGUGAAGAUUGAAGUUUGUUCCUUGUUGGAACAUGGAGAUGUUGCUCCUUGUUGGAACAUGUUUACUUGUUGGGAUAUCACAAUACCUCUUAUUUAAUUAAUGCAUCUAUAUACUUGGUAAAGGGUGGAAGGCUCGGCCUUAUGCCUGGUGUUUUGUUCCACUCUUGCCGCUCUAGUUUCCGUCAUAUCAGUGUUAUGUUCCCGGAUUUUGCGUUCCUUACACGGUUGGGUUAUAAUGGGAACCCCUUGACAGUUCGCCUUGAAUAAAACUCCUCCAGCAAUGCCCAACAUUGGUUUUACCAUUUGCCACCUAGCCUCUUUUUCCCUUGGGAGUCGUGCUCCUGAGGGUCAUCAUUAUUUUAACCCCCCGGGCCAAUGCUCCUCUGAGUGUUGGUCCAAACUAGAGCCCCUUGCAGCGCCACCUCGGGGAAACUCGAGGGCUGGUUUUAGUUGUACGGACUGCUCAUCUGAGUGUGCCCUGAGAACGAGAUAUGUGCAGAUCCUAUCGGGAUUUGUCGGCACAUUCGGGCGGUGUUGCUUGACUUGUUUUACCAUUGUCGAAAUGUCUUGUAACCUGGAUGCCGAGUCUGAUCGGAAUGUCUUGGGAGAAGGAAUAUCCUUUGUUGACCGUGAGAGCUUGUGAUGGGCUAAGUUGGGACACCCCUGCAGGGAUUUGAACUUCCGAAAGCCGUGCCCGCAGUUAUGGGCAGAUGGGAAUUUUUAAUGUUCGGUUGUAGAAAACCUGAAGUUGACCUUAAUUAAAAUACAUCAACCGCGUGUGUAACCGUGAUGGUCUCUUUCCGGCGGAGUCCGGGAAGUGAACACGGUGUUGGAGUUAUGCUUGACGUAGGUUGUUCUAGGAUCACGUCUUGAUCAUAGUUUCUCGAUCGUGCUUUGCCUUCUCUUGUCGCUCUCAUUUGCGUAUGUUAGCCACCAUAUAUGCUAGUCGCUUGCUGCAGCUCCACCUCAUACCUUUACCUUACCCAUAAGCUUAAAUAGUUUUGAUCGCGAGGGUGUGAGAUUGCUGAGUCCCCAUGACUCACAGAUACUUCCAAAACCAGUUUGCAGGUGCCGUUGAACCGUGCAGGUGAUGCAACCAAGCUCAAGGAGGAGCUCGAUGAAGAUGUUGUCCUUUAUGUUGUUUCGUUUCCAGUUGAUCAAUAGUGGAGCCCAGUUGGGACGAUCGGGGAUCUGUGUAGCAUUUGGGGUAGUCUUCUUUUAUUUUGGGUUUCGUAGUCGGCCCUUGAUUGUAUCUGGUUGAUGUAAUGCUUUAUUCAUGUAUUUGUGUGAAGUGGCGAUUGUAAGCCAACUAUGUAUCUUUUCCCUUAUGUAUUACAUGGGUUGUGUGGAGAUUACCUCACUUA